Jaculus jaculus (lesser Egyptian jerboa) is the source of this 206-nucleotide small nucleolar RNA. Its record names the gene U3. It matches the Rfam family "Small nucleolar RNA U3". From Rfam's summary of the family: Small nucleolar RNAs (snoRNAs) are involved in the processing and modification of rRNA in the nucleolus. The record is from Ensembl. NCBI's taxonomy places the organism in Eukaryota, Metazoa, Chordata, Mammalia, Rodentia, Dipodidae.
AAGACUACUUUCAGGGGUCCUUUCUGUAGCUCUUUACUAGAGAAGUGUCUCUGGCCAUGUAGGAUACGGAAACCACCAGGAAGACACACAGCGUCUCCUGAGCGUGAAGCGGCUCUUGAUCCUUGGCUGCAGCCGCCGCCUGCUGUUGAGGAUCCUUCCUGCUCUCCUUCCGGGGAGCUGGAGGGAGAGGAUGCAGUCUGAGCGGC